GACGAACGCUGGCGGCGUGCUUAACACAUGCAAGUCGAACGGAAAGGCCCUGCUUUUGUGGGGUGCUCGAGUGGCGAACGGGUGAGUAACACGUGAGUAACCUGCCCUUGACUUUGGGAUAACUUCAGGAAACUGGGGCUAAUACCGGAUAGGAGCUCCUGCUGCAUGGUGGGGGUUGGAAAGUUUCGGCGGUUGGGGAUGGACUCGCGGCUUAUCAGCUUGUUGGUGGGGUAGUGGCUUACCAAGGCUUUGACGGGUAGCCGGCCUGAGAGGGUGACCGGCGACAUUGGGACUGAGAGACGGCCCAGACUCCUACGGGAGGCAGCAGUGGGGAAUAUUGCACAAUGGGCGGAAGCCUGAUGCAGCAACGCCGCGUGCGGGAUGACGGCCUUCGGGGUGUAAACCGCUUUCGCCUGUGACGAAGCGUGAGUGACGGUAAUGGGUAAAGAAGCACCGGCUAACUACGUG
Molecule: ribosomal RNA, 468 nt
Filed under: uncultured bacterium
Lineage: Bacteria
Description: partial 16S ribosomal RNA
Rfam family: Bacterial small subunit ribosomal RNA
Source: RNAcentral